UUACCUGUCACAUGAAUUUUAUUACUGAGAGAAAAAGGAUUGCAGAAAAGUGUUUCCAUUAUAUAUCUGAGCUUCAAAUCAGGUCCAUGCCUGUCUUGGUUCGACUGGUCAUCGGACUUCCUGCGGUGCUCAUCCGGUCCAUGCCUGCAGUGAGAGGGUGAAGCUGAGAGAUGCCUCUGUUCUGGAUCACUGAGAUCUCGUUGUUUUUCGCGGCCAGGCUAUUGGCGAUGGCUGUCGCAUAACGGUUCCAAAAUCCAGUGUCGACGUUCAUCGCUCGGGCUGCCAGGUCCUUCUGAAACAUUUCCCCAAACUUCAUCGCCUCUCCCCCCAGCAGGGCCAUGGGGUUCUCCACCGACAGCCGCCGGCCUCUCCUGGCUGGUGCGUUGUUCCACAUAGGACAGAGAAGUACGGGAGUGAGAGUGAAUGGAGGAACUUUCCUGAAGAUUGCUGCUAUUCUCAGGCUUAUUGCCUCCUGUCCUUCAUGGUUUCACAUGACGUCCCGGGUGUCAGGAUCGCCUUCAAGUCUUGAAAUGAGGAAAGCUGAUGAUACAAGCGGACUGGGAUCAAAGGGGAGCGAACUGGUGAAGGUGCAGAAAUACAAACAGGAAAUACAUUUCUAAAAGUUUGGUGGAAAUAUUUUUUAAAAGAAAAGACAACAGAAUAUUUCCUGCAGGAAGGUGUUGACGUAAUCUCUCUCUCUCGUUCUCUCUCUCUUUUUUUUCGUUCACAUUAAAGCUUCAUAAUGAUGUGUUUGUGACUUU
Molecule: long non-coding RNA, 761 nt
Organism: Labrus bergylta (ballan wrasse)
Lineage: Eukaryota; Metazoa; Chordata; Actinopteri; Labriformes; Labridae
Source: RefSeq, a predicted model, not a curated record